This 458-nucleotide ribosomal RNA is filed under the name uncultured bacterium. Its description in RNAcentral is "partial 16S ribosomal RNA". It matches the Rfam family "Bacterial small subunit ribosomal RNA", at positions 338 to 795 of the family's 1533-position model. The record is from RNAcentral.
CCUACGGGUGGCAGCAGUGAGGAAUCUUGGUCAAUGGGCGAGCGCCUGAACCAGCCAAGUCGCGUGAGGGAGUACUGCCCUAUGGGUUGUACACCUCUUUUGUCGGGGAGCAAAAGCCUGACGUGUCCGGCUGUGAGAGUACCCGAAGAAAAAGCAUCGGCUAACUCCGUGCCAGCCGCCGCGGUACUCCGGAGGAUGCGAGCGUUAUCCGGAUUUUUGGGGUUUAAAGGGUGCGCAGGCGGAUUUUUAAGUCAGCGUUCAAAUCUUGGGGCUCAACCCUAUCCAGCCGUUGAAACUGGGGAUCUAGAGUGUGCGAGAGGUAUGCGGAAUGCGUGGUGUAGCGGUGAAAUGCAUAGAUAUCACGCAGAACCCCGAUUGCGAAGGCAGCAUACCGGUGCACAACUGACGCGCAGGCACGAAAGCGUGGGUAUCGAACAGGAUUAGAUACCCGGGUAGUC